UGCGCGCGAUCGCCUUACGGCUCAGUAACACGUCGUUAAUCUGCCCUAAGGUCAGGGAUACCCACGGGAAACUGUGGUUAACACCUGAUAAGGAAUAUGUAUUGGAAUAUAGUAUUCUCUAAAUUCGAGCCUUAGGAUGAGACGGCGCCCGAUUAGGCUGAUGGCGGUGUAACGGACCACCAUACCUGAGAUCGGUACGGGCCAUGAGAGUGGUAGCCCGGAGAGGGACACUGAGAUACUGGUCCCAGCCCUACGGGGUGCAGCAGGCGCGGAACCUCUACAAUGCACGCAAGUGUAAUAGGGGGAUCCCAAGUGCUCAAGCACUGCUUGGGCUUUUGCUUAGUGUAAAUAGCUAGGCGAAUAAGUGGUGGGAAAGACUGGUGCCAGCCGCCGCGGUAACACCAGCGCCACGAGUGGCAAUCGCGUUUAUUGGGCCUAAAGCGUCCGUAGCAGGUUUGUUAAAUUUCUUGUGAAAUUGCCAGGCUUAACUUGGCAGUGUGCAGGGAACACUGACAGACUAGGGACCGGGAAGGGUCAGAGGUAUUCCUGAGGGAGCGGUAAAAUGCUAUAAUCUCAGGAGGACCACCUGUGGCGAAGGCGUCUGACUAGAACGGAUCCGACUGUGAGGGACGAAAGCCAGGGGAGCAAACCGGAUUAGAUACCCGAGUAGUCCUGGCCGUAAACGCUGUGAGCUAGGUGUCGCGUAUUCUACGGGAAUGCGCGGUGUCGAAAGGAAGCUGUUAAGCUCACCGCCUGGGAAGUACGGUCGCAGACUGAACUUUAAGAUGCUGGGGAGCACAGGGCGAUUCGUUUAAACUGCAGACUAGUCCUUAGUGAGGGUAAUUCUGAGCUGCCGUAUCAUGUCAUAGCUGUUCCUGGGUGAAAUGGUUAUCCGCCUCACAUCCACACAACUACGGCCGAGCAUACGGUCAAGCUGGUGGUGCUAUGAGUGACUAACUCCACAAUUAAUGC
RNAcentral lists this ribosomal RNA (972 nucleotides) under uncultured archaeon. RNAcentral describes it as "partial 16S ribosomal RNA". It matches the Rfam family "Archaeal small subunit ribosomal RNA". The record is from RNAcentral.